Molecule: ribosomal RNA, 389 nt
Filed under: uncultured bacterium
Lineage: Bacteria
Description: bacterial SSU rRNA
Rfam family: Bacterial small subunit ribosomal RNA
Source: RNAcentral
GACGAACGCUGGCGGCGUGCUUAACACAUGCAAGUCGAGCGGUAAGGCCCUUUCGGGGGUACGACGAGCGGCGAACGGGUGAGUAACACGUGGGUGACCUGCCCUCAGCUCUGGGAUAAGCCUGGGAAACUGGGUCUAAUACUGGAUAUGACUCCACGGUGCAUGUCGUGGGGUGGAAAGCCUUGUGCGGCUGAGGAUGGGCCCGCGGCCUAUCAGCUUGUUGGCGGGGNGAUGGCCUACCAAGGCGACGACGGGUAGCCGGCCUGAGAGGGCGACCGGCCACACUGGGACUGAGACACGGCCCAGACUCCUACGGGAGGCAGCAGUGGGGAAUCUUGCGCAAUGGGCGAAAGCCUGACGCAGCGACGCCGCGUGAGGGAUGACGGCCU